RNAcentral lists this ribosomal RNA (99 nucleotides) under Enterobacter cloacae. RNAcentral also lists the same sequence under 4 other names. The record is from RNAcentral. Lineage: Bacteria; Pseudomonadati; Pseudomonadota; Gammaproteobacteria; Enterobacterales; Enterobacteriaceae.
UUUAGCGCGGUGGUCCCACCUGACCCCAUGCCGAACUCAGAAGUGAAACGCCGUAGCGCCGAUGGUAGUGUGGGGUCUCCCCAUGUGAGAGUAGGGAAC